RNAcentral lists this ribosomal RNA (498 nucleotides) under uncultured bacterium. RNAcentral's name for it is "partial 16S ribosomal RNA". It matches the Rfam family "Bacterial small subunit ribosomal RNA", at positions 28 to 507 of the family's 1533-position model. The record is from RNAcentral.
GACGAACGCUGGCGGCGUGCCUAAUACAUGCAAGUCGAACGAGAGCGACCGGUGCUUGCACUGGUCAAUCUAGUGGCGAACGGGUGAGUAACACGUGGGUAACCUGCUCAUCAGAGGGGGAUAACAUCCGGAAGCGGAUGCUAAAACCGCAUAGGUCUUCGAGCCGCAUGGCUUGGAGAGGAAAAGAGGCGCAAGCUUCUGCUGAUGGAUGGACCCGCGGUGCAUUAGCUAGUUGGUGAGGUAACGGCUCACCAAGGCCGUGAUGCAUAGCCGACCUGAGAGGGUGAUCGGCCACAUUGGGACUGAGACACGGCCCAAACUCCUACGGGAGGCAGCAGUAGGGAAUCUUCCGCAAAGGACGCAAGUCUGACGGAGCAACGCCGCGUGAGUGAAGAAGGUUUUCGGAUCGUAAAACUCUGUUGUUAGAGAAGAACAAGUGCUAGAGUAACUGUUAGCGCCUUGACGGUAUCUAACCAGAAAGCCACGGCUAACUACGUG